RNAcentral lists this long non-coding RNA (688 nucleotides) under Mytilus galloprovincialis (Mediterranean mussel). Lineage: Eukaryota; Metazoa; Mollusca; Bivalvia; Mytilida; Mytilidae. The record is from RNAcentral.
AUGAGCCAUUUAAGGGAAGAUAACUCUUACAGUAAAAAAAUUAUACUGGACUAAUAGGAAAUUUCUUUAUUUUUACUUGUAGCAAGAAAACAAGUUCGGUGACCCCCUUUUUUCUUUUUAUUUUCUUAAAGCAUGUAAUAAAACCUCUCUUUUCACAAUUUUUUUCAAAAUUCUAUCUCAUAGAAUUCAUUUUAUACACACAAAUGUGUUUUUUCAUGUACAAUCUAACCAAAUUUAGGCAAUUUUCAACGACUCAUAGCUUGAAAAAUAGCACGGUGACCCAUACUUUUUAUUAAAUUUAAAAAAAAAGCAUAUUAAAAUCUUCAUUUUGGCAGAUUAUAAGAAAAUUCUGUCUCAAAAAGUAUAUACUUAUGAUCUACCUUAAUGUUUGUUCCUUUUUUCCUCAUUUUAAUAUGGCAUUUAAUAACAUGUAACAUGGUCUCCGAGAGGGCAUUGUGGACAAAUAUUUGAGGUGAAUGUUUCUGAACUAAAGUUCUAUGAUAGAUAUAUAUUUUUUAUGUUUACAUUUUGUACAUAUUCUGCAAUAGAUUUUUCUGAGUCAAAAAUCUAGGUUGGUCAUAUUAUAUCAUCAAAACUAUUCAAAAUGUUACUUAAAGUAUCUUAAUUUGCUAUAAAUGACAAAAAAAUCAUAUAAUGGACUUAUAAUAAUAUUUAGUCCAUUGUGUAU